GAUGAACGCUGGCGGCGUGCCUAAUACAUGCAAGUCGAGCGAACAGACGAGGAGCUUGCUCCUCUGACGUUAGCGGCGGACGGGUAAGUAACACGUGGAUAACCUACCUAUAAGACUGGGAUAACUUCGGGAAACCGGAGCUAAUACCGGAUAAUAUAUUGAACCGCAUGGUUCAAUAGUGAAAGACGGUUUUGCUGUCACUUAUAGAUGGAUCCGCGCCGCAUUAGCUAGUUGGUAAGGUAACGGCUUACCAAGGCAACGAUGCGUAGCCGACCUGAGAGGGUGAUCAGCCACACUGGAACUGAGACACGGUCCAGACUCCUACGGGAGGCAGCAGUAGGGAAUCUUCCGCAAUGGGCGAAAGCCUGACGGAGCAACGCCGCGUGAGUGAUGAAGGUCUUCGGAUCGUAAAACUCUGUUAUUAGGGAAGAACAAAUGUGUAAGUAACUAUGCACGUCUUGACGGUACCUAAUCAGAAAGCCACGGCUAACUACGUG
Molecule: ribosomal RNA, 497 nt
Filed under: uncultured bacterium
Lineage: Bacteria
Description: partial 16S ribosomal RNA
Rfam family: Bacterial small subunit ribosomal RNA
Source: RNAcentral